CCUGAUGCAGCAACGCCGCGUGAGGGAUGACGGCCUUCGGGUUGUAAACCUCUUUUAGUAGGGAAGAAGGGCUUCGGCUUGACGGUACCUGCAGAAAAAGCACCGGCUAACUACGUGCCAGCAGCCGCGGUAAUACGUAGGGUGCGAGCGUUGUCCGGAAUUAUUGGGCGUAAAGAGCUCGUAGGCGGUUUGUCACGUCUGCUGUGAAAUCCCGAGGCUCAACCUCGGGCCUGCAGUGGGUACGGGCAGACUGGAGUGCGGUAGGGGAGAAUGGAAUUCCUGGUGUAGCGGUGGAAUGCGCAGAUAUCAGGAGGAACACCGAUGGCGAAGGCAGUUCUCUGGGCCGUAACUGACGCUGAGGAGCGAAAGCGUGGGGAGCGAACAGGAUUAGAUACCCUGGUAGUCCACGCCGUAAACGUUGGGCGCUAGAUGUGGGGACCUUUCCACGGUUUCCGUGUCGUAGCUAACGCAUUAAGCGCCCCGCCUGGGGAGUACGGCCGCAAGGCUAAAACUCAAAGGAAUUGACGGGGGCCCGCACAAGCGGCGGAGCAUGCGGAUUAAUUCGAUGCAACGCGAAGAACCUUACCAAGGCUUGACAUAACCGAGAACGCCGCAGAAAUGUGGAACUCUUUGGAC
This 636-nucleotide ribosomal RNA is filed under the name Agromyces sp. So3Pt_234. Its description in RNAcentral is "bacterial SSU rRNA". It matches the Rfam family "Bacterial small subunit ribosomal RNA", at positions 382 to 1027 of the family's 1533-position model. The record is from RNAcentral. Lineage: Bacteria; Bacillati; Actinomycetota; Actinomycetes; Micrococcales; Microbacteriaceae.